Molecule: ribosomal RNA, 464 nt
Filed under: uncultured bacterium
Lineage: Bacteria
Description: partial 16S ribosomal RNA
Rfam family: Bacterial small subunit ribosomal RNA
Source: RNAcentral
GACGAACGCUGGCGGCGUGCUUAACACAUGCAAGUCGAACGGAAAGGCCCUGCUUGCAGGGUACUCGAGUGGCGAACGGGUGAGUAACACGUGGGUGAUCUGCCCUGCACUUCGGGAUAAGCCUGGGAAACUGGUCUAAUACCGGAUAGGAGCCAUUUUUAGUGUGAUGGUUGGAAAGUUUUUUCGGUGUAGGAUGAGCUCGCGGCCUAUCAGCUUGUUGGUGGGGUAAUGGCCUACCAAGGCGGCGACGGGUAGCCGGCCUGAGAGGGUGGACGGCCACAUUGGGACUGAGAUACGGCCCAGACUCCUACGGGAGGCAGCAGUGGGGAAUAUUGCACAAUGGGCGCAAGCCUGAUGCAGCGACGCCGCGUGGGGGAUGACGGCCUUCGGGUUGUAAACUCCUUUCGCUAGGGACGAAGCUUUUUGUGACGGUACCUAGAUAAGAAGCACCGGCUAACUACGUG